CCUACGGGAGGCAGCAGUGGGGAAUAUUGGACAAUGGGCGAAAGCCUGAUCCAGCAAUGCCGCGUGAGUGAUGAAGGCCUUAGGGUUGUAAAGCUCUUUUACCCGGGAUGAUAAUGACAGUACCGGGAGAAUAAGCCCCGGCUAGCUCCGUGCCAGCAGCCGCGGUAAU
RNAcentral lists this ribosomal RNA (169 nucleotides) under uncultured bacterium. RNAcentral's name for it is "partial 16S ribosomal RNA". It matches the Rfam family "Bacterial small subunit ribosomal RNA", at positions 338 to 524 of the family's 1533-position model. The record is from RNAcentral.